UCGGGUGACGAGUGGCGGACGGGUGAGUAAUGUCUGGGAAACUGCCUGAUGGAGGGGGAUAACUACUGGAAACGGUAGCUAAUACCGCAUAACGUCGCAAGACCAAAGAGGGGGACCUUCGGGCCUCUUGCCAUCAGAUGUGCCCAGAUGGGAUUAGCUAGUAGGUGGGGUAACGGCUCACCUAGGCGACGAUCCCUAGCUGGUCUGAGAGGAUGACCAGCCACACUGGAACUGAGACACGGUCCAGACUCCUACGGGAGGCAGCAGUGGGGAAUAUUGCACAAUGGGCGCAAGCCUGAUGCAGCCAUGCCGCGUGUAUGAAGAAGGCCUUCGGGUUGUAAAGUACUUUCAGCGGGGAGGAAGGCGAUAAGGUUAAUAACCUUGUCGAUUGACGUUACCCGCAGAAGAAGCACCGGCUAACUCCGUGCCAGCAGCCGCGGUAAUACGGAGGGUGCAAGCGUUAAUCGGAAUUACUGGGCGUAAAGCGCACGCAGGCGGUCUGUCAAGUCGGAUGUGAAAUCCCCGGGCUCAACCUGGGAACUGCAUUCGAAACUGGCAGGCUGGACUCUUGUAGAGGGGGGUAGAAUUCCAGGUGUAGCGGUGAAAUGCGUAGAGAUCUGGAGGAAUACCG
Molecule: ribosomal RNA, 631 nt
Filed under: uncultured Pseudomonadota bacterium
Lineage: Bacteria; Pseudomonadati; Pseudomonadota
Description: bacterial SSU rRNA
Rfam family: Bacterial small subunit ribosomal RNA
Source: RNAcentral